RNAcentral lists this ribosomal RNA (497 nucleotides) under uncultured bacterium. RNAcentral describes it as "partial 16S ribosomal RNA". It matches the Rfam family "Bacterial small subunit ribosomal RNA", at positions 28 to 507 of the family's 1533-position model. The record is from RNAcentral.
GAUGAACGCUGGCGGCGUGCCUAAUACAUGCAAGUCGAGCGAACAGACGAGGAGCUUGCUCCUCUGACGUUAGCGGCGGACGGGUGAGUAACACGUGGAUAACCUACCUAUAAGACUGGGAUAACUUCGGGAAACCGGAGCUAAUACCGGAUAAUAUAUUGAACCGCAUGGUUCAAUAGUGAAAGACGGUUUUGCUGUCACUUAUAGAUGGAUCCGCGCCGCAUUAGCUAGUUGGUAAGGUAACGGCUUACCAAGGCGACGAUGCGUAGCCGACCUGAGAGGGUGAUCGGCCACACUGGAACUGAGACACGGUCCAGACUCCUACGGGAGGCAGCAGUAGGGAAUCUUCCGCAAUGGGCGAAAGCCUGACGGAGCAACGCCGCGUGAGUGAUGAGGGUCUUCGGAUCGUAAAACUCUGUUAUUAGGGAAGAACAAAUGUGUAAGUAACUAUGCACGUCUUGACGGUACCUAAUCAGAAAACCACGGCUAACUACGUG